Rosa rugosa (rugosa rose) is the source of this 267-nucleotide long non-coding RNA. RefSeq lists it as uncharacterized. The record is from RefSeq and is a predicted model, not a curated record. NCBI's taxonomy places the organism in Eukaryota, Viridiplantae, Streptophyta, Magnoliopsida, Rosales, Rosaceae. The transcript is spliced from 2 exons.
CUCUUGAUGGUGGAGGCAAAAAUGGAGAGCCCAAACAGACCAUUGGUUGUAUGACAGAGCGUGUUGUGGAAACUGGAUCAUUUGGAAUUGUUAUUGCAAACUCUUAGAACGCGGUUGAAGAUCUGAGGUUGGCCUGGCCUGGCAGAAUCAUCGAAGAUCUAGAAAUAGCAAAACCACCCAGUAUUUAGAACAAAGGACUUGGGAGUGAAGACGGAAAUCCAUGGGCUUCAACAAAUGAAAUGAAUUUAUAUGGUGACAAACCAAAAA